Molecule: non-coding RNA, 859 nt
Organism: Callorhinus ursinus (northern fur seal)
Lineage: Eukaryota; Metazoa; Chordata; Mammalia; Carnivora; Otariidae
Source: RefSeq, a predicted model, not a curated record
CGGGCCGGCUCCGGCCGACAGCGUCCGGCAGCGCGACAGAGCCCCGCCCCCACGCGGGGGCAAGCUUCCCGACGCGGUCCGCGAGCGGGGGAACCAGCUCCCGGUCUAACCCUGCUGUCUUGGGCGUCUUUAUCGGCUCCGGCCUGGAGAAGGGAGCGGGCGGCCCGGGCGUUGUUCACGGCGGCGGCCCAGUGCAGCGCGGUUUUUCCUAGAAGACGACGUGGGUGGUUGUUACUCUGAGGAAAGAGUCCCCUUCUUGAGUCCCUUUCCUCCUCACUCUUACUUGAGGCCAAUGCUGUCUUCACCCAGGGGAGGCCGGCGUCUGCGGGGAGCCGGCUGAGUUCGAGGCCUUCUAAUGAACCCAGGGGGCAGCCAGAGGGCCCCGUGCUCUCGGCGCCGCCUCCGGAUGAGCUGAAGGACGAGAAGAGCCCCAAGGGCCAGGAGAAGCACCCCGGCCACUGAGAGAUGCCUGAUAUUCCACUGCCUCUAGGGCACUGGUUGCUAAGUGGGGAGAGCUCUGGAGCAGUGGGCUUGGUCAGGCCCUGGAUGGCAGAAAAGGCAAACGAUUCCUGGAAAUACUGAGUGACUUGCACAAGUUGGUGGCAGAGCUUGGAUUCAGUAAUGAAAUCUCCGUGAGAACAGACGUGCUCGUGCGCCUGGGUGGCUCAGUCAGUUAAGCGGUUAAGCGUCUGCCUUCAGCUCGGGUCAUGAUCCUGUCCUGGGAUUGAGGCCUGCGUUGGGCUCCACCCGCGUUGGGCUCCCUGCUCAGUGGGGAGCCUGCUUCUCCCUCUCCCUCUGCUCUUCCCUCUGCCACUCCCCAGCUUGUGCUCUCUCUCUGUCAAAAUAAAUAAAUAAAAAU